This 249-nucleotide ribosomal RNA is filed under the name uncultured bacterium. RNAcentral describes it as "partial 16S ribosomal RNA". It matches the Rfam family "Bacterial small subunit ribosomal RNA", at positions 524 to 769 of the family's 1533-position model. The record is from RNAcentral.
UACGGGGGGGGGCAAGCGUUGUUCGGAAUUACUGGGCGUAAAGGGCUCGUAGGCGGCCAACUAAGUCCGACGUGAAAUCCCCAGGCUUAACCUGGGAACUGCGUCGGAUACUGGAUGGCUUGAAUUCGGGAGAGGGAUGCAGAAUUCCAGGUGUAGCGGUGAAAUGCGCAGAUAUCAGGAGGAACACCGGUGGCGAAGGCGGGUCUCUGGGCCGAAUACUGACGCUGGAGGAGCGAAAGCGUGGGGAGC